AUGGGAUCGGGAUGGGGAACAUCCCGGGAAACGCAAAUCCCGCGGUUUAGGGGCUCGCGUUCUUUCUACGCCGUUUAUUUCCCGUUUAUUUGCCGUUUUUGUCACAUUUUUAUCUCGUUUUUAUCCCAUUUUUAUCUCAUUUUUAUCUCGUUUUUAUCCUGUUUUUAUAUCCCAUUUAUAUCCCAUUUAUCCCAUUUUUAUCCAAUUUUUAUCCCGCUUAUCCCAUUUAUAUCCCACUUAUCCUCUUUUUAUCCAAUAUAUCCCAUUUUUAUCCCGUUUUAUCUCAUUUUUAUCCCACUUAUCCCAUUUUUAUCCCAUAUUUAUCCCACUUAUCCCAUUUUUAUCCUGUUUUUAUCCAUUUUUGUCCAAUUUUUAUUCCAUUUAUCCCAUUUAUAUCCCAUUUACCCCAUUUUUACCCCAUUUUUCCCAUUUUCCCCCCAUUUUUCCCAUUUUUACCGCAUUUAUCCCGUUUUUAUCCCAUUUAUCCCAUUUUUAUCCCGUUUUUACCCCAUUUAUCCCAUUUUCACCCCAUUUAUCCCAUUUUCACCCCUUUUUUCCCAUUUCCACCCCGUUUUUAUCCCAUUUUCCCCUCAUUUUUAUCCUGUUUUUACCCCAUUUUUUUCCCAUUUCCUCCCCAUUUUUUCACAUUUCCACCCCAUUUUUCUCAUUUUCCCCCCAUUUUUCCCAUUUCCCUCCAUUUUUCCCAUUUCCACCCCGUUUUUCCCAUUUCCCCCCAUUUUUCCCACUUCCACCCCGUUUUUAUCCCAUUUCCACCCCGUUUUCCCAUUUUCACCCCAUUUUUUUCCCAUUUUCACCCCGUUUAUCCCAUUUCCACCCUGUUUUUCCCAUUUUUACCCCAUUUUCCCCAUUUUCACCCCAUUUAUCCCAUUUUCACCCCAUUUUUUUCCUGUUUUCACCCCAUUUAUCCCAUUUCCACCCCAUUUAUCCCAUUUCCACCCCGUUUUUCCCGUUUCCCCCCAUUUUUCCCAUUUCCCCCCAUUUUUCCCGUUUCCGCCCCGUUUUUCCCAUUUCCCCCCCGUUUUUCCUGUUUCCCCCCCGUUUUUCCCCCGUUUCCCCCCGUUUUUCCCGUUUCCCCCCGUUUCCACCCCGUUUUUCCCGUUUCCCCCCCGUUUUUCCCGUUUCCCCCCCGUUUUUCCGGCACUCGGAGCCCCGGGGUGCCCGGGGUGCCCCCGGUGUCCGGCUGAUCCCGGAGAGGGACGGGAAGGGCAGGGACGGGAAAUCCGUAAAUCGGAUAAAACCGGGAUUAGGGAUCCCUGCUGGGGGAGAGGAACGGAGGAGGAGCCGGAACCGGAUCGGAACCGGGCGGGAUCGGAUCGGAACCGGUCGGGAUCGGAUCGGAACCGGGCGGGAUCGGAUCGGAACCGGGUGGGAUUGGAUCGGAACCGGGCGGGAUUGGAUCUGAUCCGGGUGGGAUUGGAUCGGAACCGGGCGGGAUUGGAUCAGAACCGGGCGGGAUUGGAUCGGUUCCGGGUGGGAUUGGAUCGGAACCGGGUGGGAUUGGAUCGGAACCGGGUGGGAUUGGAUCGGAACCGGGUGGAAUUGGAUUGGAUCCGGGUGGGAUUGGAUCAGAAUGGGUUGGGUUGGAUCAGAACUGGGUGGGAUUGGAUCAGAACUGGGUGGGAUUGGAUCGGAACCGGGUGGGAUUGGAUCGGAACCGGGCGGGAUCGGAUCGGAACCGGGCGGGAUCGGAUCAGAACCGGGCGGGAU
RNAcentral lists this long non-coding RNA (1728 nucleotides) under Cyanistes caeruleus (blue tit). RNAcentral's name for it is "lncRNA (ENSCCEG00000002248.1)". Lineage: Eukaryota; Metazoa; Chordata; Aves; Passeriformes; Paridae. The record is from RNAcentral.